Molecule: ribosomal RNA, 253 nt
Filed under: uncultured bacterium
Lineage: Bacteria
Description: partial 16S ribosomal RNA
Rfam family: Bacterial small subunit ribosomal RNA
Source: RNAcentral
UACGAAGGGGGCUAGCGUUGUUCGGAAUUACUGGGCGUAAAGCGCACGUAGGCGGACAUUUAAGUCAGGGGUGAAAUCCCGGGGCUCAACCCCGGAACUGCCUUUGAUACUGGGUGUCUUGAGUUCGGAAGAGGUGAGUGGAAUUGCGAGUGUAGAGGUGAAAUUCGUAGAUAUUCGCAGGAACACCAGUGGCGAAGGCGGCUCACUGGUCCGAUACUGACGCUGAGGUGCGAAAGCGUGGGGAGCAAACAGG